Long non-coding RNA from Zerene cesonia (dogface butterfly), 423 nucleotides. RefSeq lists it as uncharacterized. NCBI's taxonomy places the organism in Eukaryota, Metazoa, Arthropoda, Insecta, Lepidoptera, Pieridae. The record is from RefSeq and is a predicted model, not a curated record. The transcript has 3 exons.
CAAGUUUCGCGCAGGGUUGACGUCCCCUAAACGUCCGCCAUAUUCACCCCGUUUUCCCGCGUAACGUUAAGAAUUUUCGCGCGCACCACGUUCAGAAACUAGCAACGUUCCUUAUGAAGGAAGUAAUUACGAAACUCUGUUCUCAUCUAACUACACAUUUGUUUUUUGGGGACAAUAAUUUCUACAGUAUACUAGAACUGUUGAGUCGAGAAUGAGACGCGAUGAAUCUGUAAAGAGCAUAACAAGGUUUUCGUCGGCCCGCCGAAGCGAACAACGGCCGGCUUUGACGCUCGGCCUGAGACAGAAUUCGCUUACUAUCAGCACACUCGCGCAGCAGGCAGCGUACUUAGCAGAAAAGGCGAGGCAAACAGAGACCGGGGAUCCCAAUCUACAAGCGCCGCCCACUUCUUGGUUUAGACUUGU